ACGGGAGGCAGCAGUGGGGAAUAUUGCACAAUGGGGGAAACCCUGAUGCAGCGACGCCGCGUGAGUGAUGAAGUAUUUUGGUAUGUAAAGCUCUAUCAGCAGGGAAGAUAAUGGCGGUACCCGACUAAGAAGCACCGGCUAAAUACGUGCCAGCAGCCGCGGUAAUACGUAUGGUGCAAGCGUUAUCCGGAUUUACUGGGUGUAAAGGGUGCGUAGGUGGCAAGGCAAGUCUGAAGUGAAAGCCUGGGGCUCAACCCCGGAACUGCUUUGGAAACUGUUUAGCUAGAGUACAGGAGAGGAAAGCGGAAUUCCUAGUGUAGCGGUGAAAUGCGUAGAUAUUAGGAGGAACACCAGUGGCGAAGACGGCUUUCUGGACUGUAACUGACACUGAGGCACGAAAGCGUGGGGAGCAAACAGGAUUAGAUACCCUGGUA
This 434-nucleotide ribosomal RNA is filed under the name uncultured Coprococcus sp. RNAcentral describes it as "partial 16S ribosomal RNA". It matches the Rfam family "Bacterial small subunit ribosomal RNA", at positions 341 to 792 of the family's 1533-position model. Lineage: Bacteria; Bacillati; Bacillota; Clostridia; Lachnospirales; Lachnospiraceae. The record is from RNAcentral.